GACAGAGGAUGCAAGCGUUAUCCGGAAUGAUUGGGCGUAAAGCGUCUGUAGGUGGCUUUUUAAGUCUGCCGUCAAAUCCCAGGGCUUAACCCUGGACAGGCGGUGGAAACUACCAAGCUGGAGUACGGUAGGGGCAGGAGGGUCGAAUUUCCGGUGGAGCGGUGAAAUGCGUAGAGAUCGGAAAGAACACCAACGGCGAAAGCACUCUGCUGGGCCGACACUGACACUGAGAGACGAAAGCUAGGGGAGCGAACAGG
This 257-nucleotide ribosomal RNA is filed under the name uncultured bacterium. RNAcentral describes it as "partial 16S ribosomal RNA". It matches the Rfam family "Bacterial small subunit ribosomal RNA", at positions 524 to 776 of the family's 1533-position model. The record is from RNAcentral.